Molecule: long non-coding RNA, 1379 nt
Organism: Cygnus olor (mute swan)
Lineage: Eukaryota; Metazoa; Chordata; Aves; Anseriformes; Anatidae
Exons: 4
Source: RefSeq, a predicted model, not a curated record
CUCCCAAGCCCAAGACCUCCUGCUUUUCCCCCUCCACCAGUCCCUCCCAGCUCUGCCUUACCUCGGAUGGGGUGUGAGAUGUCCCGCCAUGGCUGCUGAGGGGUGACCUGGCUGUGCAGCACUUGCAGAAAGCAGAGGGUCGGUGUGUUGGUGAUGCUGCAGGAAGAGCCCAAGUGGGGGAAGCUGAAGACAUGAUCUACAGGCCAAAAAGAGUCAGUACAGCUCCCCAGCAAUCUACAGCCCUGGGGAAAAAUGGCCAACAGUUGGGGCUGCCUGGCAUUCAUCCCUUGUAUAGGGACACAACACCCCGCAGGGUCAGCAGCCUGCUUUUGGACGGUGAAAGUGUGAGGUCUGGGUGUGGGAGCCCUGGAAGUGCCACCACGCCUGUGCUGGCCCAGGUGUGACAGUCACUGGCCCAAAUGUGCCCCCUGCCCAGGGAUGGGCAGGGAAAAGCCCAAGGGGAAAUGUCACCUGCUGCUGCUGGGGCUGCGCUGGCCCUGCCAUGAUGACACUUGGACAAAUCACAGCCAUGCCUGGCACCUCUGAUGCAUUCUUUUACAUCCUAACAUCUCCAAUUCCUGUAGUAGAGGAGCUCAUAAUUUUGUAAGAGGUGUUUGAGCCUCUCCAUGAGGGGUGAAGGAUAGAUCUCAGCUGUGGCACCUGGAACCUUGAGUAAGUCCCUUCAGUCUACAACAUUACGAGGCAGGCUGGGUUUCGCAAAAUGAGUUGGGAUCCUUGGGUGGAAAAUGCUACGUAAGAGCUUGAAAUUCCACUGCUCUGAGCCAGGACGGGCGCUCCUUUCCAGGCUCCGUCCCUUUCCCUCUGUGUUAGCAGUGCUGGACCAUGAAUGAGCCAUGACAGGCUGUGGCUUUGCAGGCAAAUACAUAUUUAGAAACUGGAGGGCAUUUUCCCCUUAGAUUAUUGUCACUUGAAUGUAGGUUGGCCUGACAGCUUAGGUGGAAAACCAUCUUCUGAGUGUACCGGCAGCUCCACACUCACUUGCCCCACUAAUCCCCUCCGUGUGCACCCUGCUUUGGGCAAAAACUUCUCCCCAUGCUGGCAGCACCCUCAUGGUGCUCCAAACUCCUGGGGCCAAUCUGGGAGGGAGUCACUCAUCCCUGUGCUCCCUGCAGAUGUCUGUCUGUCCAUGCUCAGCUGUCGGCCCUCCCUUCCCAUAGCUCUGCCUGUGCGUUUUGCAGGUGCUCCUGCCUGCCUGCAGCACGCACCCUCCACGGCGCUUUGGAAAUGCGGGCUCUGCUGCAUCCCUGGUGGGGAGGGCUGCUCGGUCGUCACAUGCUCCUGUUAAACCUUCUGUAUUUUUCCUCCCCCGAAUCUGCAACUUUCAUCCUUUAAAGCAGCUUGGCGGUGCCUCCCCUGUG